This 520-nucleotide ribosomal RNA is filed under the name uncultured Entrophospora. Its description in RNAcentral is "SSU rRNA". It matches the Rfam family "Eukaryotic small subunit ribosomal RNA", at positions 569 to 1083 of the family's 1831-position model. The record is from RNAcentral. Lineage: Eukaryota; Fungi; Glomeromycota; Glomeromycetes; Entrophosporales; Entrophosporaceae.
AGCAGCCGCGGUAAUUCCAGCUCCAAUAGCGUAUAUUAAAGUUGUUGCAGUUAAAAAGCUCGUAGUUGAAUUUCGGGAUUGACGUGACGGUCAUGCCUUAAGGGGUAUGAACUGUUACAGUUGAUUUCUCACCUUCUGGAGAAACUUGAUGUCCUUUAUUGGGUGUCUUGCGGAUCCAGGACCUUUACCUUGAAAAAAUUAGAGUGUUUAAAGCAGGCAUUUUUGCUCGAAUACAUUAGCAUGGAAUAAUAGAAUAGGACGGCAUGGUUCUAUUUUGUUGGUUUCUAGGAUCACCGUAAUGAUUAAUAGGGAUAGUUGGGGGCAUUAGUAUUCAAUUGUCAGAGGUGAAAUUCUUGGAUUUAUUGAAGACUAACUACUGCGAAAGCAUUUGCCAAGGAUGUUUUCAUUAAUCAAGAACGAAAGUUAGGGGAUCGGAGACGAUCAGAUACCGUCGUAGUCUUAACCAUAAACUAUGCCGACUAGGAAUCAGACGAUGUUAAUUUUUUAAUGACUCGUUUGG